UCGUCAGCUCGUGUCGUGAGAUGUUGGGUUAAGUCCCGCAACGAGCGCAACCCUUGUUAUUAGUUGCCAGCAUUAAGUUGGGCACUCUAAUGAGACUGCCGGUGACAAACCGGAGGAAGGUGGGGAUGACGUCAAGUCAUCAUGCCCCUUAUGACCUGGGCUACACACGUGCUACAAUGGGCAGUACAACGAGAAGCAAGCCUGCGAAGGCAAGCGAAUCUCUGAAGGCUGUUCUCAGUUCGGACUGCAGUCUGCAACUCGACUGCACGAAGCUGGAAUCGCUAGUAAUCGCGGAUCAGCACGCCGCGGUGAAUACGUUCCCGGGCCUUGUACACACCGCCCGUCACACCAUGGGAGUCUGCAAUGCCCAAAGCCGGUGGCCUAACCUUCGGGAAGGAGCCGUCUAAGGCAGGGCAGAUGACUGGGGUGAAGUCGUAACAAGGUAGCCGUA
Molecule: ribosomal RNA, 451 nt
Filed under: uncultured bacterium
Lineage: Bacteria
Description: bacterial SSU rRNA
Rfam family: Bacterial small subunit ribosomal RNA
Source: RNAcentral